This 74-nucleotide transfer RNA is filed under the name Trechus karadenizus. RNAcentral describes it as "transfer RNA-Leu". The record is from RNAcentral. Lineage: Eukaryota; Metazoa; Arthropoda; Insecta; Coleoptera; Carabidae.
UAUUAAUUAUAUUACUUUGGCAGAUUAGUGUAAUGAAUUUAGAAUUCAUAAAAGUAAAUAUUUACAAGUAAUAC